This 1025-nucleotide ribosomal RNA is filed under the name uncultured bacterium. Its description in RNAcentral is "bacterial SSU rRNA". It matches the Rfam family "Bacterial small subunit ribosomal RNA", at positions 96 to 1167 of the family's 1533-position model. The record is from RNAcentral.
CGGCGGACGGGUGAGUAACACGUUGGAACCUUCUCCAGAAUCAGGGAUAAGCUCUAGAAAUAGGGUCUAAUACCGGAUAGUCCCGAAAGGGUAAAGCAGCAAUGCGUUCUGGAAGGGGCCUGCGGCCUAUCAGCUAGUUGGUGAGGUAACGGCUUACCAAGGCUAUGACGGGUAGCUGGUCUGAGAGGAUGAUCAGCCACAAUGGGACUGAGACACGGCCCAUACUCCUACGGGAGGCAGCAGUAAGGAAUCUUUCGCAAUGGGGGCAACCCUGACGAAGCAACACCGCGUGGAGGAUGAAGGCGUUUUCGUUGUAAACUCCUUUUCUGAGGGAAUAAAUCUGAAGGUACCUCANGAAUAAGCAACGGCUAACUACGUGCCAGCAGCCGCGGUAAGACGUAGGUUGCAAGCGUUAUCCGGAAUUAUUGGGCGUAAAGAGUUCGUAGGUGGUAUGUUAAGUUGGAUGUCAAAACUUUAAGCUCAACUUAAAGUAGGUGUCCAAAACUGGCAAACUGGAGACAGGUAGAGGUAAGUAGAAUUCUGUAUGUAGGGGUAAUAUCCGUAGAUAUACAGAGGAAUACCAAAAGCGAAGGCAGCUUACUGGACCUGUUCUGACACUCAAGAACGAAAGCGUGGGGAGCAAACGGGAUUAGAUACCCCGGUAGUCCACGCCCUAAACUAUGAACACUAGGUGUUGAGGGUCUCGACCCCCUCAGUGCCGACGCUAACGCAUUAAGUGUUCCGCCUGGGUAGUACGGUCGCAAGACUAAAACUCAAAGGAAUAGACGGGGACCCACACAAGCGGUGGAGCAUCUGGUUCAAUUCGAUAGUAAGCGAGGAACCUUACCAAGGCUUGACAUCCCGGGAAGGCUGCCGAAAGGUGGCUGUGCCGUAAGGAACCCGGUGACAGGUGCUGCAUGGUUGUCGUCAGCUCGUGCCUUGAGGUGUUCGGUUAAGUCCGUGAACGAGCGCAACCCUUGUCCUAAGUUGCUUUUUUCUUAGGAGACUGCCGGCUCUAAGUCGGA